GAGAGGCUUGAAGCAAUAAGGACUGCUAACCCCUACCCCCAUGGUUAA
RNAcentral lists this transfer RNA (48 nucleotides) under Corydoras coriatae. RNAcentral describes it as "partial tRNA-Ser". The record is from RNAcentral. Lineage: Eukaryota; Metazoa; Chordata; Actinopteri; Siluriformes; Callichthyidae. RNAcentral also lists the same sequence under 2 other names.